AAGCUCUGAAGUCUCACACAAUUAAUUUGGCAGAGAGGAAAAUAUGAAAGAAUCAUAUCCGAUGAAUAGUGGAGAUGGCACUUACAGCUACACGAAGAACUCCACCUAUCAGAUAAGUAGAUUACACGCUUCAUAUACAUACAUACAUAUAUAUAUGUAUAUGUAUAUGUAUAUCACCAUCUGGGUAUUUGGAUGUCUUAUUGACCCCAAUAAAUAUAAUUCUCUCAGUUACUUGUAAGGGAAAACAUCUAUAUGACAGUUUGCCUUUUAGAAUUUUAAAAUUUUAAAACAGAUAAUGCUAAACCCAAUACAUUGGUGGCUGAAGUAUAAAUCUUGAAUUUUAGGUUUUUUUUUCCCUUUAGAAUUUUCUUAAUUUUGUUGUCCAUUUUGAGUCUGCAAUAUUAUAUGAGUCUCAUUUUGAGCUAAAUAAAUGUUGUCAAACAGAUAUUCAAUAUUAUAUGAGUCUCAUUCUGAGCUAAAAUCACAAACAUGGAACAGUGGAAGAAUUUACUACACAAGUGCCUCGGAGGAAGUAACAAAUGCUUAUGCAGCUCAGUUUACAAAGGACAUGAAGAUGUUUCUGAAUGCCAUAGCAAAAGAGAUUGUGGCUGGAGUUUAAAAAGGACAGGAUAAUGGUAGUGCUCAUGCCUGGUCUGAUAUUUGAUUUCCUUGGGUCUACGCUUAUGGAUAUGGUGAAUGAGGUAAGUCAAUAAUGAUCAGCUUUUCAAAUUGAAGCCCAAAAAAUCUAUAAUGCACUUAUAGGGAUUAGUGAGUGCAAAAGAAGGGCUAAUCUCUAAUUUUCCCUUAUAUUUUUUAUUGUCUAGCUUGGAGUUAGAGAAUUCAGAAAGUGAUAGUUCAACUAAUACUGACCUUUCUAUUCAGACAAUUGUGUUUUUGUUUGGAAUUUAAUUUGUAUGUACAAGGUGGUAAGAGAAAAAGCUUUCCAAUUCUCACUUUAAUCAUAGACAAUUACUAAAUAGAUGUAAUGGUAUUAUCCGACUAAAAAAGAAAAAUAAAAUAAAAUAAAAUAAAUGUCCCGCCUAUGGAAUUCUUCCCAAAUCUCAAUCUCUCAAUAUAAGUAACUUUUUUUUUUGGGUGAGUCUUAGUACGCAACUCCCAAUGAAUGGACAAUUUCGUUGAAAAUUCAAAUGAUACCAAAUCAACAAUGCAUUUUCAUUUCUCAACUUUGGCCCUACAAAUUGACAAAAUGGUACUACAAUCAUCAAUGGUACACGGCACAUGGAGCCGCCAAUGCAGACAACAUAUACCGAGUAUAUAGUUCAGCAUUAUUGUGGACCCCGCGUUCAUACCAAAGUCAAAAGUGUGUAAAUAUUAUACAUCUACUAUCUAUUAUGUGUGUGUGUCUAUAUUUUAUAUAUAUAUAUAUAUAUAUAUAUAUAUAUAUAUAAUAUAGUAGAGAGUUCUGAAAUCUCGCACAAUUAAUUUGGCGGGGAGGGAAAGCAGAGCAACAAGGAAGCAGUCGCAAUGACAGAAUCAUAUCCGAUGAUUGGUGGAGAUGGCACUUAUAGCUACACCAAGAACUCCACCUAUCAGGGGUAACUUUAUUGACGAAAGUUAGUUGAAAGGGAGCUUGAACAUUGAGUUUUCUAAUAUAUUUUUGGGACAAAAAUGACCUUGUACCUAUUUUAUAUAUAUCUCACAUAUAGAUCUACUAUAUUAUCACUCUUAGCCACAUAUAGUCAACCAUUGCUGCGCGUACACUUCUUCUUUAUCAGGUUCUUUUGUUUACCCUUGAGAUAUAUAUAUAUAUAUAUAUAUAUAUAUAUAUAUAUAUAUAUAUAUAUAUAUGUUAUCAUUAUAAUAUUAUACAUAUUAUGUACCAGUAAUUAUUAUUAACACUAUAUUGGUAUUUACAACCAACCGUCAGACCCAUAUGAAUAUGGGGUUUUCCUCGAAUUUUAUCUACAAUUUUUUUUUUAGAAUUAUAUUGUGCAUUCAUUUUUAUGAUUUUUAUUGAUUUUAUACUGAUGUUGGACAAUUUUAGUAGAUUUUAUAUUAUUUUUUUAUUCUUUUUAUUUUUUAUUUUUUUAUUUUUAUUUUUUAUUUCUUUUAGGGAGUUUAAUUUUAAGUUUUUAAUUUCCUUCUACCAUUAGUUUCAUUAUAUUUUUAGUUUACAUAAGCAAUUAGUUUCCUUUAAGGUAUUAUGGUUUCUCUAUUAUAAAUAUUCACGUACUUGUACUGCAAGAGCAUAAUUUAACUUUUUAUCAAUAAUAUUUCAGAAUUUUUUAUGAAUUUAUCUCUUGUUUUAUGGAUUCAAAACACCUACUUUAUGGAUCCAAAGUAACCCAACCCUUGUGAAUGUCUAAUGGCUUCCGCCACAUCAAUUGGUAUCAGAGCCUUGUCGUACCUUGGUUGGAUGGUGGUUGAUCGUUUUGGCAGCAACAGGUUUUGGUAGCAACAGCUCUAGCGACGUUGAUCGGGGAGUGCACGCCCCUUGGGUAGCAUGCAUACUCAAGAUUGGUUUGUACCAAUAGGUUUUGGGAUUGGUGGCAAUCAGGUUCGUGGUUCAGUUUGUGUCCGCGCUGAUGAUGUGUCUCGCAACCAACCGAGUAUGAGUUAUGUUCGUGUUUAUCCACGUAGAUCUCCAGCCUAUGUGGAUUCUUUCGAUGAUGAGAAGUUCAGAUUUAGAGGAGUUGUGGUUAAUCAAACUAUAGAUAUCUAGACAAUUGUAAGUUUAAAAAAAAUUCGAAUUAUUUAUUUUACUUCGAGUUUUUGUGUUGAGGAUUUCUUAGAUUGGCUUAAUGAAGUUGAUUACGUCUUUCGAGUAUUUUGAUAUACCUGAACAGAAGCAAGUUCCUCUGUUAGCAAUCAUGCUUAAGAAAUAUGCUUCAGCUUGGUGGGAACAGGGAAAAACUAAUCGGAGGUAGCAAGGAAAACAACUUGUACAAUCAUGGUCAAAGUUGGCAAGGUUGUUGAUUGCUAAUUUUUUACCACCAAAUUAUGAGCCGAAGUUGUAUCGACAA
Molecule: long non-coding RNA, 2984 nt
Organism: Cornus florida
Lineage: Eukaryota; Viridiplantae; Streptophyta; Magnoliopsida; Cornales; Cornaceae
Exons: 2
Source: RefSeq, a predicted model, not a curated record